This is a small nucleolar RNA of Panicum virgatum (switchgrass), 139 nucleotides long. RefSeq annotates it as small nucleolar RNA Z247. Lineage: Eukaryota; Viridiplantae; Streptophyta; Magnoliopsida; Poales; Poaceae. The transcript has a single exon. The record is from RefSeq and is a predicted model, not a curated record.
CCGCUAGAAGAUGAUGAACUGGUGGAGUACAUCAUCACCGGACUAGGAGAAGAUUUUCAGUCCCUAGUCACAUCGGUAUGUACUAGAACAUAUCCCAUCAGUGUUUCAGAUCUGUAUUCACAGAUGCUUAGCUUUGAGU